This 1379-nucleotide long non-coding RNA is filed under the name Pan troglodytes (chimpanzee). RNAcentral describes it as "long non-coding RNA NONPTRT016922". The record is from RNAcentral. Lineage: Eukaryota; Metazoa; Chordata; Mammalia; Primates; Hominidae.
UAGGGGAACAGGGCAAGGGGGCUUACUCAGUCUCUGUUUUUACCCGUCUGCAUGAGUGAAUUGAGCUUUCAACCUAAGGCUUUACAAAGAUGCCUCUUUUGCAUAAAAGUGCUUCCAACAGUGACCCCAAAGAGUUGUAGCAAUCCCCAUCCCCACUAGGGCAACCAUGUACGAGACAGAAAAGGCUAAGUUUCCCCUUAGUUUGUGGACAAGACUCUUAGAAACUAGGACCUGAAUUUUCGUUGUUGAUGGAUGUUCUCCCUGCAGAUCCAACACUCUCACCUUCUCCUUUAAAUGAUCCAUUCCUCUGAACCAAAAGCUGACGUUCUCAGCGUGCAUCAGUAGACCCAUCUCCUAGGUGAAGGCACCUUCAGAUUUCCACAUUCCACUUGCUGCAAGCCUCUCUUGCAAUGCAGGGAGCACGUUUCAUGUGCAGGCUGGUCCUCCCGAAGCAUUGAUGUAUAAGCCUGCAGUCUCAGCGAGGCCCAAAACUCUGACAACAACUUUUGCAACAGUUUGGUUGGCUUCAUCAGCAGGUGCUGAGCGGGGCUUCAAAGUCUUCAGUGUACACCUUGAUGUAAACUGCAGCCCUAUUCUCUGUAGCAAUGCCCUUUUCUUAGAGUGAUUCACCCUAAUUCCCACCACGAGAAGCAGUAGCCUCCUUCUCGGUCUGUCUCCAUCAGAGCAGUGGCUCGAGGGCUUUGCCUUGAUUAAUGAGAAAUAUUUUAUCAAAGAAACUAGACAAUUCUUUCCAUCAAGACUAAGCUUUACUGAACUAAUAUAUGCCAACAGUGAUUCAUUUCUUUUAGCUCAUGUAUGUACUGCCGAGGUAGAUUUCUUCAUGUGUUGAUGAUUCUCUAAUUCAACUUUUUUCUUUUUUUGAAAUGGAGUCUAACUCUGUCACCCAGGCUGGAGUGCAGUGGCACGAUCUCCACACCUGUGUGGCCUGGCACUGUGGUGCAUUGCAAGUCCUUCAGAGGCACCUGCACGAAGCCAGCACAGGCAGUAUGAAACCCAUCACACCCACACUAAACAGGAUGCAACAGGAUCCUUCCAAAAUUCUUCAGCAUACUCAGGAAUUAUCUUCAUGACUACUUUAUGAAAUUAAUAUAGUAUAAAUUUAUCUGAAAAACUGUGAUCUGAAAUUAUUAUGUAUUUGAAACUGAAACACAUAAAAGUUAAGGGACUUCAUAAUCAUAAAAAUGUUGAUCUAGAAUUCAAUCUUUCUGUAAGCCUGACCAUUGUUAAAGCGGAAUUUUCCUUGCCAGAAGAAAUUAUACUUAAAAUAGAAUCUCCCAAAUACUAAUUCUGAAAGAAUCUAUAUUUUAAGCACUUAAAUUCAUUUCCUGUGCAAGACUUCUUUUAGUCACCUUUUAGAU